RNAcentral lists this RNase P RNA (321 nucleotides) under uncultured Eubacterium sp. RNAcentral describes it as "Bacterial RNase P class A". It matches the Rfam family "Bacterial RNase P class A". Rfam says of the family: Ribonuclease P (RNase P) is a ubiquitous endoribonuclease, found in archaea, bacteria and eukarya as well as chloroplasts and mitochondria. Its best characterised activity is the generation of mature 5'-ends of tRNAs by cleaving the 5'-leader elements of precursor-tRNAs. Lineage: Bacteria; Bacillati; Bacillota; Clostridia; Eubacteriales; Eubacteriaceae. The record is from RNAcentral.
UUAACAAGACGAUUGCGCAUCGCAUUUGCGAUGUGAGGAAAGUCCGAGCAGCACAGAGCAGGAUGACGGCUAACGGCCGCCGAGGGUGACCUCAGGGAAAGUGCAACAGAAAUAAACCGCCCACUUUUGUGGGUAAGGAUGGAAAGGCGGGGUAAGAGCCCACCGAGCAGAUGGAGACACCUGCUGCCAUGUAAACCCCAUCCGCUGCAACGCCGACAGAAGAGUUGUUUGCUCGACACAUAACUUCAACGGGCGGCUUGAGCGUAUUGGCAACAAUGCGUCGAGAUAGAUAAUCGUCCACGACAGAACUCGGCUUAUUGU